RNAcentral lists this transfer RNA (74 nucleotides) under Epinephelus epistictus (dotted grouper). Its description in RNAcentral is "tRNA-Lys". It matches the Rfam family "tRNA". Rfam says of the family: Transfer RNA (tRNA) molecules are approximately 80 nucleotides in length. The record is from RNAcentral. Lineage: Eukaryota; Metazoa; Chordata; Actinopteri; Perciformes; Serranidae.
CGCUAAAAAGCUAAACAAGGAAAAGCGCUAGCCUUUUAAGCUAGAGAUUGGUGGCCACCGACCACCUUUAGCGA